This 441-nucleotide ribosomal RNA is filed under the name uncultured bacterium. RNAcentral describes it as "partial 16S ribosomal RNA". It matches the Rfam family "Bacterial small subunit ribosomal RNA", at positions 338 to 795 of the family's 1533-position model. The record is from RNAcentral.
CCUACGGGAGGCAGCAGUGGGGAAUAUUGCACAAUGGGGGAAACCCUGAUGCAGCAACGCCGCGUGAGGGAAGGAGUAUUUCGGUAUGUAAAGCUCUAUCAGUAGGGAAGAAGAAAGACGGUACCUGACUAAGAAGCCCCGGCUAACUACGUGCCAGCAGCCGCGGUAAUACGGAGGGGGCAAGCGUUAUCCGGAUUUACUGGGUGUAAAGGGGGCGUAGACGGCUGUGCAAGUCUGAUGUGAAAGCCCGUGGCUCAACCGCGGAACUGCUUUUGAAACUGGAUGACUUGAGUUCUGAAGAGGCAGGCGGAAUUCCUAGUGUAGCGGUGAAAUGCGUAGAUAUCAUGAGGAACACCAGUCGCGAAGGCGACCUGCUGGAGAGAAACUGACGUUGAGGCUCGAAAGCGUGGGGAGCAAACAGGAUUAGAUACCCCAGUAGUC